UACGUAGGGGGCAAGCGUUGUUCGGAAUCACUGGGCGUAAAGGGCGCGUAGGCGGCUUUAUAAGUCGGGGGUGAAAGCCUGUGGCUCAACCACAGAAUUGCCUUCGAUACUGUAGAGCUUGAGACCGGAAGAGGUAAGUGGAACUGCGAGUGUAGAGGUGAAAUUCGUAGAUAUUCGCAAGAACACCAGUGGCGAAGGCGGCUUACUGGUCCGGUUCUGACGCUGAGGCGCGAAAGCGUGGGGAGCAAACAGG
Molecule: ribosomal RNA, 253 nt
Filed under: uncultured bacterium
Lineage: Bacteria
Description: partial 16S ribosomal RNA
Rfam family: Bacterial small subunit ribosomal RNA
Source: RNAcentral